Molecule: ribosomal RNA, 2780 nt
Filed under: Shigella flexneri
Lineage: Bacteria; Pseudomonadati; Pseudomonadota; Gammaproteobacteria; Enterobacterales; Enterobacteriaceae
Description: partial 23S ribosomal RNA
Rfam family: Bacterial large subunit ribosomal RNA
Source: RNAcentral
GUUAAGCGACUAAGCGUACACGGUGGAUGCCCUGGCAGUCAGAGGCGAUGAAGGACGUGCUAAUCUGCGAUAAGCGUCGGUAAGGUGAUAUGAACCGUUAUAACCGGCGAUUUCCGAAUGGGGAAACCCAGUGUGAUUCGUCACACUAUCAUUAACUGAAUCCAUAGGUUAAUGAGGCGAACCGGGGGAACUGAAACAUCUAAGUACCCCGAGGAAAAGAAAUCAACCGAGAUUCCCCCAGUAGCGGCGAGCGAACGGGGAGCAGCCCAGAGCCUGAAUCAGUGUGUGUGUUAGUGGAAGCGUCUGGAAAGGCGUGCGAUACAGGGUGACAGCCCCGUACACAAAAAUGCACAUACUGUGAGCUCGAUGAGUAGGGCGGGACACGUGGUAUCCUGUCUGAAUAUGGGGGGACCAUCCUCCAAGGCUAAAUACUCCUGACUGACCGAUAGUGAACCAGUACCGUGAGGGAAAGGCGAAAAGAACCCCGGCGAGGGGAGUGAAAAAGAACCUGAAACCGUGUACGUACAAGCAGUGGGAGCACGCUUAGGCGUGUGACUGCGUACCUUUUGUAUAAUGGGUCAGCGACUUAUAUUCUGUAGCAAGGUUAACCGAAUAGGGGAGCCGAAGGGAAACCGAGUCUUAACUGGGCGUUAAGUUGCAGGGUAUAGACCCGAAACCCGGUGAUCUAGCCAUGGGCAGGUUGAAGGUUGGGUAACACUAACUGGAGGACCGAACCGACUAAUGUUGAAAAAUUAGCGGAUGACUUGUGGCUGGGGGUGAAAGGCCAAUCAAACCGGGAGAUAGCUGGUUCUCCCCGAAAGCUAUUUAGGUAGCGCCUCGUGAAUUCAUCUCCGGGGGUAGAGCACUGUUUCGGCAAGGGGGUCAUCCCGACUUACCAACCCGAUGCAAACUGCGAAUACCGGAGAAUGUUAUCACGGGAGACACACGGCGGGUGCUAACGUCCGUCGUGAAGAGGGAAACAACCCAGACCGCCAGCUAAGGUCCCAAAGUCAUGGUUAAGUGGGAAACGAUGUGGGAAGGCCCAGACAGCCAGGAUGUUGGCUUAGAAGCAGCCAUCAUUUAAAGAAAGCGUAAUAGCUCACUGGUCGAGUCGGCCUGCGCGGAAGAUGUAACGGGGCUAAACCAUGCACCGAAGCUGCGGCAGCGACGCUUAUGCGUUGUUGGGUAGGGGAGCGUUCUGUAAGCCUGUGAAGGUGUGCUGUGAGGUAUGCUGGAGGUAUCAGAAGUGCGAAUGCUGACAUAAGUAACGAUAAAGCGGGUGAAAAGCCCGCUCGCCGGAAGACCAAGGGUUCCUGUCCAACGUUAAUCGGGGCAGGGUGAGUCGACCCCUAAGGCGAGGCCGAAAGGCGUAGUCGAUGGGAAACAGGUUAAUAUUCCUGUACUUGGUGUUACUGCGAAGGGGGGACGGAGAAGGCUAUGUUGGCCGGGCGACGGUUGUCCCGGUUUAAGCGUGUAGGCUGGUUUUCCAGGCAAAUCCGGAAAAUCAAGGCCGAGGCGUGAUGACGAGGCACUACGGUGCUGAAGCAACAAAUGCCCUGCUUCCAGGAAAAGCCUCUAAGCAUCAGGUAACAUCAAAUCGUACCCCAAACCGACACAGGUGGUCAGGUAGAGAAUACCAAGGCGCUUGAGAGAACUCGGGUGAAGGAACUAGGCAAAAUGGUGCCGUAACUUCGGGAGAAGGCACGCUGAUACGUAGGUGAAGCGACUUGCUCGUGGAGCUGAAAUCAGUCGAAGAUACCAGCUGGCUGCAACUGUUUAUUAAAAACACAGCACUGUGCAAACACGAAAGUGGACGUAUACGGUGUGACGCCUGCCCGGUGCCGGAAGGUUAAUUGAUGGGGUUAGCGCAAGCGAAGCUCUUGAUCGAAGCCCCGGUAAACGGCGGCCGUAACUAUAACGGUCCUAAGGUAGCGAAAUUCCUUGUCGGGUAAGUUCCGACCUGCACGAAUGGCGUAAUGAUGGCCAGGCUGUCUCCACCCGAGACUCAGUGAAAUUGAACUCGCUGUGAAGAUGCAGUGUACCCGCGGCAAGACGGAAAGACCCCGUGAACCUUUACUAUAGCUUGACACUGAACAUUGAGCCUUGAUGUGUAGGAUAGGUGGGAGGCUUUGAAGUGUGGACGCCAGUCUGCAUGGAGCCGACCUUGAAAUACCACCCUUUAAUGUUUGAUGUUCUAACGUGGACCCGUAAUCCGGGUUGCGGACAGUGUCUGGUGGGUAGUUUGACUGGGGCGGUCUCCUCCUAAAGAGUAACGGAGGAGCACGAAGGUUGGCUAAUCCUGGUCGGACAUCAGGAGGUUAGUGCAAUGGCAUAAGCCAGCUUGACUGCGAGCGUGACGGCGCGAGCAGGUGCGAAAGCAGGUCAUAGUGAUCCGGUGGUUCUGAAUGGAAGGGCCAUCGCUCAACGGAUAAAAGGUACUCCGGGGAUAACAGGCUGAUACCGCCCAAGAGUUCAUAUCGACGGCGGUGUUUGGCACCUCGAUGUCGGCUCAUCACAUCCUGGGGCUGAAGUAGGUCCCAAGGGUAUGGCUGUUCGCCAUUUAAAGUGGUACGCGAGCUGGGUUUAGAACGUCGUGAGACAGUUCGGUCCCUAUCUGCCGUGGGCGCUGGAGAACUGAGGGGGGCUGCUCCUAGUACGAGAGGACCGGAGUGGACGCAUCACUGGUGUUCGGGUUGUCAUGCCAAUGGCACUGCCCGGUAGCUAAAUGCGGAAGAGAUAAGUGCUGAAAGCAUCUAAGCACGAAACUUGCCCCGAGAUGA